CUCAGGACGGAAGGUUCUUAGGUCGGUAGGUCCUCAGGACGGAAAGACCUCAGGUCGGAAGGUCCGCAAGACGGAAAGACCUCAAGUCGGAAGGUCUUCAGGUCGGGAGGUCCGCAAGACGGAAAGACCUCAAGUCGGAAGGUCUUCAGGUCGGGAGGUCCGCAAGACGGAAAGACGAUGAGUCGGAAGGUUUUCAAGUCGGGAGGUCCUCGAGACGGAAAGUCGUCGAGAUGGGAUAUCCGCAGGUCGGGUAAACUGUAGG
Andrographis paniculata is the source of this 262-nucleotide long non-coding RNA. RefSeq lists it as uncharacterized. The transcript is spliced from 3 exons. The record is from RefSeq and is a predicted model, not a curated record. Lineage: Eukaryota; Viridiplantae; Streptophyta; Magnoliopsida; Lamiales; Acanthaceae.